This 68-nucleotide small RNA is filed under the name Xanthomonas campestris pv. campestris. RNAcentral's name for it is "sX9 sRNA". It matches the Rfam family "Xanthomonas sRNA sX9". The record is from RNAcentral. RNAcentral also lists the same sequence under 1 other name. Lineage: Bacteria; Pseudomonadati; Pseudomonadota; Gammaproteobacteria; Lysobacterales; Lysobacteraceae.
AUGUACCCACGUACACUCUCCGCGCCGGCCGCACCCACCUGACGACUGCUCGCUACGUUUUGUUAGCC